AAAUUCUUCGACAAGUGAAAAAAGGUAAUUUCUAUUGAAAUAAUAUAGAAAUUACUUUUUUAGUAUUUUAAAUGUAAAGUUACUUAUAAAUACGUAGUAUUUAUGGCAAGACUCCUGAGGGAACAGUACUAGUUGAAGACCUUACAAAUUCUCACAGAUUUAUCUGUGUAGUAUUUCUGGCUGAAACUGUACCCUCGGAAUGCGAAGCCAUACAAUACGAAGUAUUGGGUAUAAAGAAAGCACUAA
Molecule: non-coding RNA, 246 nt
Filed under: Staphylococcus sp. 8AQ
Lineage: Bacteria; Bacillati; Bacillota; Bacilli; Caryophanales; Staphylococcaceae
Description: tsr24
Rfam family: S. aureus tsr24 small RNA
Source: RNAcentral